Rhea pennata is the source of this 177-nucleotide long non-coding RNA. RefSeq lists it as uncharacterized. The record is from RefSeq and is a predicted model, not a curated record. The transcript has 3 exons. Lineage: Eukaryota; Metazoa; Chordata; Aves; Rheiformes; Rheidae.
CCGCACAUUAAGUCAGGCUUGUAAUCUUACUGUGACUGAUAUCUGAAAACAAGCAGGCUGUUGAGGAAGUGAGUUGCAGUGUCUGUCAGGAGAAUUUUGCACCACCUGUAAAUUUUAUGGACAUGCAGAUACCUAACAGCUGUUUGAAGCGUGGACCUGCAGUGGCAUCACCAUCAC